AGCGAACGCUGGCGGCAGGCUUAACACAUGCAAGUCGAGCGGGCACUUCGGUGUCAGCGGCAGACGGGUGAGUAACACGUGGGAACGUACCCUUCGGUUCGGAAUAACGCUGGGAAACUAGCGCUAAUACCGGAUACGCCCUUUUGGGGAAAGGUUUACUGCCGAAGGAUCGGCCCGCGUCUGAUUAGCUUGUUGGUGGGGUAAUGGCCUACCAAGGCGACGAUCAGUAGCUGGUCAGAGAGGAUGAUCAGCCACACUGGGGCUGAGACACGGCCCAGACUACUACGGGAGGCAGCAGUGGGGAAUAUUGGAAAAUGGGCGGAAGCAUGAUCGAGCCAUGACGCGUGAGUGAUGAAGGCCUUAGGGUUGUAAAGCUCUUUAGUCCGGGACGAUAAUGACGGUACCGGAAGAAUAAGCCCCGGCUAACUUCGUG
Molecule: ribosomal RNA, 433 nt
Filed under: uncultured bacterium
Lineage: Bacteria
Description: partial 16S ribosomal RNA
Rfam family: Bacterial small subunit ribosomal RNA
Source: RNAcentral